GCCCGUCUCCCUCCGUCGUCUUCCGUUCCUCCUCCUCGUGCUUCUUCUUCUUCUUACAGUUGAUUCCUCGUCGUCAUCAAGUCGUCCAAGAAAAAUUCUGAAGCUUCGAUAGGAAAAAGGGUUUCUCCCCUUCUCUCCGACGCUUCUCGGGCAGCGGAUUCGUGUCCGAUCGGUCUCCUGUUGCCUUACAAUGGCGGACUGUAAGGAGAGCGGACAUGAUUGGGAAGUCGUAUCACUUACUGCUUCAACAUAUGCAGCUUCUCCGGGUCCCAAAGUUGUCAAGCUGGCUGAUGAUGACAAAAGUACUGUCCCCAGUGAGGAUGAACCAGAAACCUCUAAUGCUUUGUUCAUGUCUCGUCACUUUGUUUUUCUUCCCAAUCGAGAAGACAAUUCUUCCCCAGAAAUUUCAACUCUUAAUAUCACUGAAAAACAAAAAGGCGAAGAUGGUUUUGGUCAACUGGAUGCAGAAGUAAGUCGAUAUAGGGUAAAGGAUGAAACUGAGUGGGCUUUCAAGGAUAAGACUCUGUCAGAUGGAUUUCCAGGAAUGCAAUUCCUUUCGGAGAAGGAUAACAUACUUCCCAUUCAUAAUACAGAAUUUGGAGAAGGCAAAACUGUACAAGAUUUUGGUUUGGUGGACAAAGAGCAGAGCUUAUAUGAUCCUACCUUUAGCUCUUUGCAUGGAGAUACAGCUCCUGGGAAGGAUACAAUCACUUCUGACAUGGUUGAAACUUCUGAAGACCACUCAGAUUCCUCAUCACAGACAUUACAUUUGUCGAAAGCAAUAGAAGAUGAUGAUUUACGUGGGUCUAACCUUCCUUGCGGUGCUUGGUGGAAGAGAAGGGCUGCUUCUUUGUUUGCCCAAGCCAAAGAGGCAAAUGCCUUCUGGUCUGUCUUCAUUGCUGCAGCCGUGAUGGGUUUUGUAAUUCUGGGUCACAGGUGGCAGCAUGAGAGAUGGCAAGCUUUGCAACUUAAAUGGCACGUGAGCAUCAGCAAUGAGAAUACAAAUGAAGCUCAAGUCUUUCUGUUAACACUCUGAUCAUUGUUACUUUCUGCUCUCUAGUGACGGUGUCGAUGUUUCAGAAUGAUGAUGACGAAAAAGAGUAGGAUAUUUGGCCCUGUAUCUCAGAUUAAAGUUGGUCAUCGGUGAAGACGGACAUGGUGGCAGCUCCAGCUCCGUUAGAGCUGGGAGAGAGAGAGCGAGGGAGUUGACUGUAGAAUCUGUCCAGUGUGGUUCGAGCGUUACUACUGUGUAAGUAUAUCUGUGAUGAAGCAAUCUACUUGUAUUAUAAAAGUUUGGUAAUUUAAGACUUGUAGUGCUACUGUUUUUACUCCGUUGUGCGUCGAAGGCCGAUGACGUCUUACGCUCUACCCACCUCAAGGUAGACGCAGCGGGAAGGGCGUUUUCUCAUGUUUUCUAUUCAAGAACCAAUAGUUGCUGUAAUAAUUUAAAUUAAAUGGCUUUCACUGUUUGAGUGUUGGA
This is an RNA transcript of Eucalyptus grandis, 1480 nucleotides long. It is a transcript of the gene named ATG8-interacting protein 2, with no coding region annotated. The record is from RefSeq and is a predicted model, not a curated record. The transcript has 4 exons. NCBI's taxonomy places the organism in Eukaryota, Viridiplantae, Streptophyta, Magnoliopsida, Myrtales, Myrtaceae.